CCAGAGAUUUCCGAAUGGGGAAACCCAGCAUGAGUUAUGUCAUGUUAUCGAUAUGUGAAUACAUAGCAUAUCAGAAGGCACACCCGGAGAACUGAAACAUCUUAGUACCCGGAGGAAGAGAAAGAAAAUUCGAUUCCCUUAGUAGCGGCGAGCGAAACGGGAAGAGCCCAAACUAACAAGCUUGCUUGUUGGGGUUGUAGGACACUCUAUACGGAGUUACAAAGGACGACAUUAGACGAAUCAACUGGAAAGAUGAAUCAAAGAAGGUAAUAAUCCUGUAGUCGAAAAUGUUGUCUCUCUUGAGUGGAUCCUGAGUACGACGGAGCACGUGAAAUUCCGUCGGAAUCUGGGAGGACCAUCUCCUAAGGCUAAAUACUCUCUAGUGACCGAUAGUGAACCAGUACCGUGAGGGAAAGGUGAAAAGAACCCCGGAAGGGGAGUGAAAUAGAACCUGAAACCGUGUGCUUACAAGUAGUCAGAGCCCGUUAAUGGGUGAUGGCGUGCCUUUUGUAGAAUGAACCGGCGAGUUACGAUUUGAUGC
Molecule: ribosomal RNA, 541 nt
Filed under: Staphylococcus aureus
Lineage: Bacteria; Bacillati; Bacillota; Bacilli; Caryophanales; Staphylococcaceae
Description: partial 23S ribosomal RNA
Rfam family: Bacterial large subunit ribosomal RNA
Source: RNAcentral